GUGAACGCUGGCGGUAGGCCUAACACAUGCCAGUCGAACGGCAGCACAGUAAGAGCUUGCUCUUACGGGUGGCGAGUGGCGGACGGGUGAGGAAUACAUCGGAAUCUACUUUUUCGUGGGGGAUAACGUAGGGAAACUUACGCUAAUACCGCAUACGACCUACGGGUGAAAGCAGGGGAUCUUCGGACCUUGCGCGAUUGAAUGAGCCGAUGUCGGAUUAGCUAGUUGGCGGGGUAAAGGCCCACCAAGGCGACGAUCCGUAGCUGGUCUGAGAGGAUGAUCAGCCACACUGGAACUGAGACACGGUCCAGACUCCUACGGGAGGCAGCAGUGGGGAAUAUUGGACAAUGGGCGCAAGCCUGAUCCAGCCAUACCGCGUGGGUGAAGAAGGCCUUCGGGUUGUAAAGCCCUUUUGUUGGGAAAGAAAAGCAGCAGGUUAAUACCCCGCUGUUCUGACGGUACCCAAAGAAUAAGCACCAGCUAACUUCGUG
This 491-nucleotide ribosomal RNA is filed under the name uncultured bacterium. Its description in RNAcentral is "partial 16S ribosomal RNA". It matches the Rfam family "Bacterial small subunit ribosomal RNA", at positions 29 to 507 of the family's 1533-position model. The record is from RNAcentral.